Molecule: long non-coding RNA, 1110 nt
Filed under: Brassica rapa (field mustard)
Lineage: Eukaryota; Viridiplantae; Streptophyta; Magnoliopsida; Brassicales; Brassicaceae
Description: long non-coding RNA (BRAP_LNC002292)
Source: RNAcentral
UUUUUGUUCAAACCAACUUUCAUUAAUAAAACUUAGACUCCAUCAAUGGAGGAAUUGUUCAACAGAAACAAUAACACAGCCACAUUAGCUAAAUAAACCGCUGCAAAAGCAAAACGGAUAACACAAACAUAGAUAAAAGCAAACAUAACACACAAGCAACUUAAAAGUGAAACACCAUGAAUGCUACUGAGUGAGAUGAAGCCACGGGAAUUGGAGAACACGUUCAGUGAGCUGUUACCCGAACAUGCUGCAGCAACAAAUGCAUAGAGAGCAGCAAGAAACUUGGCUACACAGGUGAUCAAGCACCAUCUUGAUGAGCCUUGAAAUUGUGAGGAACUCCGCAACCAUAAUGAGGUGUAGAGUUGCAAGAACCACCACGGCCAGACAAACAAGUCUGAAACUACGAAGCCAAGGUUGGCUUUUUUAAAUCCAUCGCUUAUCUUUUUGAGUUGUAGACCUGAAACAUCAGAGAAGACUGCCAACACACAAAUAUAUUGUAAUGAGCCCAAAAAGAUAUUUCGAACAACAACCUCAUGCCGAGGUAAGUGAACCUCAUACUGAGGUAAGUGAACCUCAUACUGAGGUAAAGGAAGGCAAAACAAAUGCCUAACAGCUUCGUACUGAGUUAAACAAUGACUACCAAGAAGCAUAAGGUCCUCAUACUGAGGUAAUGGUCGUGAAUGGUUUCUUAUACGGAGGACAAGGAAUCCAAAUCUAAGGUAUGUUCCAUCCCAAAUAGAAACAUCUAGACGGAUCACAAGGGUCAUACUUUUCCAAGUUAUGCCUAAGAACAGGAAGAAAAAACGAAUUUUUCCCCAUAUGAAAUUAUAGAUCUGAAACCUGUAACCAUCGGUAGGGAGAAGCAGAGGCUUGACAAGGUUCACUCCAAGAGAAACAAUCAGCAAACAGACUGAGUCGGAUGUUGUUGUACAAUGAAGAGGGGACCUCGCAGCUGCUAAGGUGAAACAAUGGCAGGGGAAAGAGGACAGAUCCAGUGUGAUGAGAGUGACAGAAGCGUCGGGAGGAUCAGGAGGGUCGGGAGCAGAGACCCCAGCGAGUAGAUCUAGAGGAAAAACAAACGGCGGUGGCUCAGGAGGUGGGGGAAGGAGC